Molecule: RNA transcript, 3341 nt
Organism: Manihot esculenta (cassava)
Lineage: Eukaryota; Viridiplantae; Streptophyta; Magnoliopsida; Malpighiales; Euphorbiaceae
Exons: 2
Source: RefSeq, a predicted model, not a curated record
AGCGGAGAAUUUCCAAAUCCGUGUUCUGUGGGAUAUCAUUCAUUUUUGGAUCCGGUCAUUCCAGCUCGUAUAAGCAACACUGCCUUUAAUUUCUAUAGGAAAAUUCUCCUGAACUAGUAAUAAAGAAAACUAGAAAGAGAUCAAUGGGAAUUAGGAUCGAGAUUGUUUUGAAAAAAAAUCGAAGUUUCUUUUCUUUUCGGAAAGAAAGAUUUUGUUUUUUUCUUUUCUUCCUAUAGCUACAGUCCUAAAGAAAAUUUUCCCAUCUUCUUGUGAAACCAAAGAAAGGGGAACGGUGACAAGCAAAAGCUAACAGCUUAAUAAAACUUGAUUAGCAGAGAAAUUUUGAAUUCACAAGAGCUUAAACCCACCAGGUGUUUCCCUGGAUUUUGAUUUCUGUAUGCUUUUUGUUUUUUUGUUUUCACCAGAGAAAAUCGAAGCUUGCGCCUCAUUUAAAACUUUCUUGGAUUUGCUUGUCGUCAAUGAUAUUUGUUUCCGUGUCUCCAUAGAGCUCCGUUACUAUUUUAGUGUGCAGUUUGCUGAAGGGUUUAGUUUCUUGAUGUUUGCUUCUGGCGGUGCAGGUAUGGCGGAUAAAGGGGUAAGCUCAGUACCAUCAACAAACCCAUCGUGGCUUCUCCGUUCAAAUCCUUUGGUUCAAUGGCGGUUUCGUGUACUAACAGCUCUGGUUUUUGUUGGAAUGGUUGGUGUUUGGAGUAUAGAUGGGUUUAGUGUAAAGAAUGUUAUUGAAUCAUGGAGGUUCAAGCGAGAGUUCCUUGGCAGGAGAUUCAACGUACAACUUGUAAAACCCACAAAUCUUACCCGAGAAAUCCAUCAAAAUUUCAUUAACAACUUAAACACCACCAUUUUCCUGUUACCCCAGCAAAAUACUACCCAUACCCCUACCACUAGCAGCAGCAGUCCUCCCAGUUACAGCAUACUGAACAACGACGAUAAUAAUGUCUCUGCUCAGAAUUAUUCAGAUGGGUUUCUGGAGAAACGAACUGAGAGAGAAUCAGAAGAAGCUAAACUGAAGUGGGUACCAACUGAUUUGAACCCAAAUUUCACUUCAGAGGACAGUAGCGUUUCGGCUCAGAGUUCUUCGGAGGAGUUCCUGGGGAAACCGAAGGUUUACGAAUCAGAAGCCAAUGUAAAGUGGGUAUCAACAGAAUUAGAUCCACGUUUGACUUCAAAGCUUCUUUCUCGGUGGUUUGCUCGUGGAGGUGAACCUUGCAGAAAUUUACGUACAGUGGACAUUGUGAUUCCUGGAUUGGACGGCCACGAUUCAAUUGAGUUAUCAGCUGGGAAUACUCAUGAAUUUAUUUUCCAAGCAGUGGAUGAGUCCAAGAAUCCUCGAUGUUUAGGUGGAGAUUACUUUGAGACAGAUCUUUCAGGGGUUGCAUGGAAGUCUCGGCCAUUAAUAAAAGAUUUUGGAAAUGGGUCUUACUCCAUUUCGCUUCAAGUCCAUCCAGAAUUUGCUGGUGACUAUCAUCUUACUGUAAUUUUGCUUUUCAGGCAUUUUGAGGGUCUUAGAUUUUCGUCUAAACGAUUUGUGUAUGAUAAAGAAUUGCGUAAGGUUCAAAUCAGGUUUAUUAAAGCUCAUUAUCGGUUACCACAAUUACAAAUUUGUGAAAAAUCUGAUUUCACUAGAGAUCUUUGGGUAGGGAGAUGGACUAGGCUUGGGAAGAAUGAUGAUUGUGAAAUCAGUAAUGAUGGGAGGUAUCGGUGCCUGGAACCAUAUUUUCCCUGCCAAAGUCCAUGGUGUGAUGGUUCCUUAGGCUUGUUAGAGAGUAAUGGUUGGGUUUAUUCUAGUCACUGUUCCUUCAGGCUGUUUUCAGCUGAUUCUGCUUGGAAUUGCCUGAAGAAUAGGUGGAUUUUCUUUUGGGGAGAUUCGAAUCAUGUUGAUACCAUAAGAAACAUGCUCAAUUUUCUCUUGGAUUUGCCUGAAAUAAAAUCUGUUCCUAGACGGUUUGAUUUGAUUUUUUCAAACCCAAAAGAUGCAUCUCAAUCAGUUCGAAUUACCAGCAUUUUCAAUGGUCAUUGGAAUGAGACUCAGAAUUACCAAGGAUUUAAUUCUUUGAAGGAUGAAGGAUAUAGAAAUUUGUUGAAGAAGUACUUCUCUGAGGACACUGUACCAGACGCUAUAAUCAUGAAUUCUGGCUUACAUGAUGGAGUAUUUUGGCCAACUAUCAGAAAAUUUUCAGGUGGAGUUGAUUAUGCAGUUUCAUUUUGGAAAGAAGUGAUUGAUUCUGUUAAGCAAAGAGGAUCAAUAGUUCCUCAAAUCAUUUAUAGAACCACCAUAGCAACUGGUGGGUAUGCAAGGGCACUAGCAUUUAAUCCCAACAAGAUGGAGGCAUUUAACUGGGUGGUGUUAGACAAAUUCAGACGAGCCCAAUUGCUUUCUGGGGUGAUUGAUAACUUUGAUAUGACUUUUGCAUGGCAUUUUGACAAUCGUUGCAACGAUGGGGUACAUUAUGGAAGAGCUCCAGCAAAGAUGAAGUGGAAGGAUGGUGAAAUCGGACACCAGUAUUUUGUGGACCUCAUGUUGGCUCAUGUGCUGCUCAAUGCUCUGUGUGCAAGAUAGUAAAUGGAAGUGGCUGAAUUGUUAUUUGGAGGAAGGAGCGCUAACAUGGCGGCUUUGUGAAGGAAGAGAGAGCCAGGCAGGAGUUGGAAUCCCCCCCCAAUUGAUGUGGUUUAAGAGCGUUGUUGUUCCUUGAUCUUUUCCAAAUCUGUACUAUCCACAACUAGAACAUAGCAGAAGGAGAACGGUGGUAGUUCGUGCACUCCCUUUCCUCUCGUUGGCAUCUUUUGAUUUGAAGGUUGUUUUGUUGACUUUGACGAUGGUGGAAGUGUCUUCCAUUACAUAAAUCAAGGAUUAUUUUCUAUGUACUAUGGCAAUGCUUGUUUGCAUGUAUUAGUUGGUAACCCAAAAUCAUUGAACAAGAUGUGCUUAAAGAUUUCCUAAUCCGAAAGGAAUGAAGCAUCUUCUCUUUCAAAUUUGAGGUUGCAUGUAAUACCUGAGUGUUCAUGGGUUCUUCUUCUUAAUGGAGCUACAGGUUGCGUGAGAGUACUAUUUCUCCUGAACUUCAAUCUGUUUUGUAAAGUCUUUAUAGCUACCAUUGGAGAUUUGUUCAAGCCUAGAUUGCGAUCUGGUUCUUGGGUAGGCAACAGUUUCAUUGGGAGAGACGACAAUGAAGAAAUUUGUAACCAGAUCAUGGUUUUGGAUAUAAGUUGUUCGGCUUGCUAACCGAGUCUUAAGAGUUCCUUUCUCAAUUAGAUUGUUUGUAUUUUUUAUGGGCCCUGAGUUAAUCUCUAACUUUACCUCAACUCUAUUUUGAUGGAUUUUA